UAAAAACCCCGACUUCGGAAGGGGUGUAUUUAUUAGAUACAAAACCAAUGCCCUUCGGGGCUCUUUGGUGAUUCAUGAUAACUAUACGAAUCGCACGGCCUUGCGCCGGCGAUGGUUCAUUCAAAUUUCUUCCCUAUCAACUUUCGAUGUUUGGGUAUUGGCCAAACAUGGUUGCAACGGGUAACGGAGGGUUAGGGCUCGACCCCGGAGAAGGAGCCUGAGAAACGGCUACUACAUCCAAGGAAGGCAGCAGGCGCGCAAAUUACCCAAUCCCGACUCGGGGAGGUAGUGACAAUAAAUACUGAUACAGGGCCCUUUCGGGCCUUGUAAUUGGAAUGAGUACAAUUUAAAUCCCUUAACGAGGAACAAUUGGAGGGCAAGUCUGGUGCCAGCAGCCGCGGUAAUUCCAGCUCCAAUAGCGUAUAUUAAAGUUGUUGUGGUUAAAAAGCUCGUAGUUGAACCUUGGGCCUGGCUGGCCGGUCCGCCUCACCGCGUGCACUGGUCCGGCCGGGCCUUUCCCUCUGUGGAACCCCAUACCCUUCACUGGGCGUGGCGGGGAAACAGGACAUUUACUCU
RNAcentral lists this ribosomal RNA (576 nucleotides) under uncultured eukaryote. RNAcentral describes it as "SSU rRNA". It matches the Rfam family "Eukaryotic small subunit ribosomal RNA", at positions 174 to 758 of the family's 1831-position model. The record is from RNAcentral.